UGGGGAAUCUUGCACAAUGGGCGAAAGCCUGAUGCAGCGACGCCGCGUGCGGGAUGAAGGCCUUCGGGUUGUAAACCGCUUUCAGCAGGGACGAGGCCGCAAGGUGACGGUACCUGCAGAAGAAGCCCCGGCUAACUACGUGCCAGCAGCCGCGGUAAUACGUAGGGGGCAAGCGUUAUCCGGAUUCAUUGGGCGUAAAGCGCGCGUAGGCGGUUUGUUAGGUCAGGAGUUAAAUCUGGGGGCUCAACCCCUAUCCGCUCCUGAUACCGGCAGGCUUGAGUCUGGUAGGGGAAGGCGGAAUUCCAAGUGUAGCGGUGAAAUGCGCAGAUAUUAGGAAGAACACCGGUGGCGAAGGCGGCCUUCUGGGCCACGACUGACGCUGAGGCGCGAAAGCUAGGGGAGCGAACAGG
Molecule: ribosomal RNA, 410 nt
Filed under: Verrucomicrobiota bacterium
Lineage: Bacteria; Pseudomonadati; Verrucomicrobiota
Description: Verrucomicrobia bacterium partial 16S ribosomal RNA
Rfam family: Bacterial small subunit ribosomal RNA
Source: RNAcentral